RNAcentral lists this unclassified non-coding RNA (649 nucleotides) under Hevea brasiliensis (rubber tree). The record is from RNAcentral. Lineage: Eukaryota; Viridiplantae; Streptophyta; Magnoliopsida; Malpighiales; Euphorbiaceae.
AGAAUAAAAAAGCUCCCCCAUGAAAAUUCCAAUCCGAUGAUAUAUGCUCACCUGAUCCACAACCUCGACCCUGCCGGCCCACAAACUCGACAUUUUCACUCUAUCACGAAACUUGGUGGGCAGUUUGGGCAUACUUCGACAGAUAACGACCAAAAUCCAAGUAAUGUAUAUUAAGAUCUCAAAGUAGUCCAGCAAGCAUGGCUCCAGGGUCAUCGUAUCCUGCUGGCGUAGCAGGUGACUGAGGCUGUACUGGAGCGACAACAGCCGUAGGUGCAGAUGUUGGGGUCGCUACGGGAAUGUUGACCAUAUGUUCCUUGAUGAACUCCUUCAACUCAAAAGUCAAUGCAGGAUCCCCAGAAGCAAUGGUUAACCUCAGUUGAGUCCUGUCUGAUGGAUCCGUUUCAACUCUUAUCAAACAAAGCAUUGCGCGAGUGCUCUCGGAGAAAAAUGUAGUACUGGCAACCAGAUUGUUUGGGUUUGUAUCGAGUCCUGCUGUUACGGCCAAGUGAAGACUGGUAAACAUAUUUACCAUUUCUGGUAGAGACAUUGGUUUUACGCCUCUAACCACUUCUUGAAGCUUCAGAGGUGGUCCGGACAAUGAUUUCCACUGUGGGAAAAACUCUUCAGCGGAGACUGAUAUAGGCUGCAA